AAUUUUUCAAAAAAAUUUGCAUAGUGACAGGCCAUUAUCGUUAAGUUACGGCCGUUACAUGCCCGUUUCUAUUACUCACGACCACAAACGCAAACGCUGCAAUGAACGCGAUUUAAAACCAUGGUCCCAGCUUUUGGCAAUGAAGUCAUUUACCCUUAUUGUUUUCAUGCCUUAUAAAAUCCAAUUACAUUUCAGCUCAAUCUGGCAUCAAUAAAUUGCUUUUCCUUUUCCAUUUAAUAUUCUGGAAUGCCUAAAGUCCUAUUUAGUAAAAAAGUUGUACAUGAUAACUUGCUGUCAUUGUCAUGGUAUCAUGGCCAGUUCCUGCAGAGAAGAAAAUAGA
This 340-nucleotide unclassified non-coding RNA is filed under the name Hevea brasiliensis (rubber tree). The record is from RNAcentral. Lineage: Eukaryota; Viridiplantae; Streptophyta; Magnoliopsida; Malpighiales; Euphorbiaceae.